RNAcentral lists this ribosomal RNA (484 nucleotides) under uncultured bacterium. RNAcentral's name for it is "partial 16S ribosomal RNA". It matches the Rfam family "Bacterial small subunit ribosomal RNA", at positions 29 to 523 of the family's 1533-position model. The record is from RNAcentral.
AGUGAACGCUGGCGGCGUGCUUAACACAUGCAAGUCGAACGAGAACGGAUUAUAGCUCGCUAUAGUUGUCAGCUAAGCGGCGCACGGGUGAGUAAUGUAUAGGUAAUAUGCCUCUUACUAAGGGAUAACAAAUGGAAACGUUUGCUAAUACCUUAUACUCCUUAUUAACAGAAGUUAAUAAGGGAAAGAUUUAUUGGUAAGAGAUUAGCCUGUAUUGUAUCAGUUAGUUGGUGGGGUAAUGGCUUACCAAGACUAUGACACAUAACUGGUUUGAGAGGAUGAUCAGUCACACUGGAACUGAGACACGGUCCAGACUCCUACGGGAGGCAGCAGUGGGGAAUAUUGCACAAUGGACGAAAGUCUGAUGCAGCAACGCCGCGUGGAGGAUGACACAUUUCGGUGCGUAAACUCCUUUUAUAUGAGAAGAUAAUGACGGUAUUAUAUGAAUAAGCACCGGCUAACUCCGUGCCAGCAGCCGCCGUAA